RNAcentral lists this ribosomal RNA (440 nucleotides) under uncultured bacterium. RNAcentral's name for it is "partial 16S ribosomal RNA". It matches the Rfam family "Bacterial small subunit ribosomal RNA", at positions 338 to 795 of the family's 1533-position model. The record is from RNAcentral.
CCUACGGGUGGCAGCAGUGGGGAAUAUUGCACAAUGGGGGAAACCCUGAUCCAGCGACGCCGCGUGAGUGAAGAAGUAAUUCGUUGUGUAAAGCUCUAUCAGCAGGGGAGAAAAUGACGGUACGUGAGUAAGAAGCCCCGGCUAGCUACGUGCCAGCAGCCGCGGUAAUACGUAGGGGGCAAGCGUUAUCCGGAUUUACUGGGUGUAAAGGGAGCGUAGACGGCAGUGCAAGUCUGGAGUGAAAGGCGGGGGCUCAACCCCCGGACUGCUCUGGAAACUGUACGGCUGGAGGGCAGGAGAGGUAAGUGGAAUUCCUAGUGUAGCGGUGAAAUGCGUAGAUAUUAGGCGGAACACCAGUGGCGAAGGCGGCUUACUGGACUGUAACUGACGUUGAGGCUCGAAAGCGUGGGGAGCAAACAGGAUUAGAUACCCUGGUAGUC